GCCGCGCGCCCCUCAUCAUCGGCAUCAUCACAAUCAAUAUAAUCAAUGCUGCUUUGGAGAGUUUGCCACCUGUUGUAAACGUUUCAGUGUCAGCACGCGUCCAAAGCGACUUGUUUUAGGAAGAAAUCCAUUGUUUGGUGAGCUUGAGAGGCAUAUUUAGAGAGCAGAGGAGACAUUGUGGAUUACAGACAGGCUGCAUGUUUCGUGUGUUCCGUGUUCAGUUGAAUGAGGAUGGGGAUGAUGAUGCCAUUUGCACGGAGGGAUUCAUGAGAUGUGUUUCUGCGGUCCUGACCUCCAGACCAUCAGUGUACCAGCUCUCGUUCCUCAAACCUCUUCCUGAGGGUUGGUUUCUCUCUUUGGUUAUCUAGCUGUAUGAGUUUUAACACUGUUCAUAAAGCUAGAUAACCGAAAGUAGAAAUAAUUCUCAAAAUCUGUUGAAAACAAGCAUGAAAGCAACAGAGCACCCACUUUUACCCCCAGAGUCUUAUUUCCAUCCACAAUAUGGCACAAUAAAGUAACAACAACAAGGGCACAGCCAUCAGAGAGCAAAGAGAGAGAGAGAGAGAUGCUUGGAGGAUCAUGGCAGUCUCCAUUUGCUCCAUCCUCCCUUCUCCAUCUACCCAGAAAGCCCCAGUGCCAUCUGUACCCCUGUGGGGUGCGGGAGAGUCCGUGCCAGUGCCAGCGGCGACAAAACCCUCGUCAGCGUCACGGGGAGGAAGGGAGGCCAUCUUGACGGAGAUCUUACACGAGAAGCUAAGAUGGCUGGGCUGGCACAUGAGACACAGCAUGGGUCACCCCCGUGCCUCCCCCAGUGUUGGGCCCUGGCAGAAGCGGCCCCUGAUGCCCCUGGCGAGGGUGAAGCUGGUAUGAGGGCCGGCAGCUGCAGCAUGCGUGCCUUUAAUGAACAGAACGUGGUGUCAGCCAUUAAUAUUCUGCCCAGCUCGCGGCUGGUCCCUCGCUCUCAGUGGAGGCCCCCUCCUUUAUAAAGAGCUCCGCUUUCCCACCAUUGUCAGGACCGCUGCUCCUGCGGCACGACUGGAGAGGGGGCAGGGUGGGAAACACCGAUGCAGACCAGACACCAGCAGAUGCCAAAGACACGAGAGGGUUAUGCAGAUCGCAGAGCCUUUGUGUGUGUGUGUGUGUGUACAGGGGUGUGUAUGUUUACAGACGGAGGGUGUUCGCCACCUGAUCAUCUUAAUUAGUUUGCAUGUAGUUAAUACGGGUCUCAGUCUGAGUGGGAUGCAGAUGUAAAUGGGCCGAGUGUGUUCCAGAAUUGAAGGCUAUUUUGUUCUCUGUUGUUUCUUGAGAACAAAUGCACAAAUUUAGCUGUUAAAUUA
Long non-coding RNA from Carassius gibelio (silver crucian carp), 1337 nucleotides. RefSeq lists it as uncharacterized. The transcript is spliced from 4 exons. The record is from RefSeq and is a predicted model, not a curated record. Lineage: Eukaryota; Metazoa; Chordata; Actinopteri; Cypriniformes; Cyprinidae.